Molecule: ribosomal RNA, 484 nt
Filed under: uncultured bacterium
Lineage: Bacteria
Description: partial 16S ribosomal RNA
Rfam family: Bacterial small subunit ribosomal RNA
Source: RNAcentral
AUUGAACGCUGGCGGCAUGCUUUACACAUGCAAGUCGAACGGCAGCGCGGGCUUCGGCCUGGCGGCGAGUGGCGAACGGGUGAGUAAUGCAUCGGAACGUGCCCAGUAGUGGGGGAUAGCCCGGCGAAAGCCGGAUUAAUACCGCAUACGACCUGAGGGUGAAAGCGGGGGACCGAAAGGCCUCGCGCUAUUGGAGCGGCCGAUGUCGGAUUAGCUAGUUGGUGGGGUAAAGGCUUACCAAGGCGACGAUCCGUAGCUGGUCUGAGAGGACGACCAGCCACACUGGGACUGAGACACGGCCCAGACUCCUAAGGGAGGCAGCAGUGGGGAAUUUUGGACAAUGGGGGCAACCCUGAUCCAGCCAUGCCGCGUGCGGGAAGAAGGCCUUCGGGUUGUAAACCGCUUUUGUUCGGGAAGAAAUCCUCUGGGCUAAUACCCCAGGGGGAUGACGGUACCGGAAGAAUAAGCACCGGCUAACUACGUG